CCCUUAGAUGUUCUGGGCUGCACGCGUGCUACACUGAUAUUGCCAAUAUGUCAUUCUUAUCCGAAAUGGAUUGGGUAAUCAAGUAAUGAAAUUUCAUGCUUGGAAUCGGUAAUUGCAAUUUUAUCGUGAACGAGGAAUUCCUAGUAAGCACUAGUCAUCAGCUAAUGUUGAUUAUGUCCCUGCCCUUUGUACACACCGCCCGUCGCUACUACUGAUUGGGUGUCCAAGUGAGAUGCUUAGACCCUUGUUGCAUGGUUCAUUAUUGUGCUCCGAAAGGAAAAAGUUUCAAGCUUGAGUGUCUAGAGGAAGUAAAGUCGUAACA
RNAcentral lists this ribosomal RNA (322 nucleotides) under uncultured eukaryote. Its description in RNAcentral is "partial 18S ribosomal RNA". It matches the Rfam family "Eukaryotic small subunit ribosomal RNA", at positions 1470 to 1796 of the family's 1831-position model. The record is from RNAcentral.